This is a long non-coding RNA of Helianthus annuus (common sunflower), 572 nucleotides long. RefSeq lists it as uncharacterized. The transcript has 3 exons. Lineage: Eukaryota; Viridiplantae; Streptophyta; Magnoliopsida; Asterales; Asteraceae. The record is from RefSeq and is a predicted model, not a curated record.
UCCCGCCCAAACUAAAAUUAGUUUUCCCCCAAAUUCCCUCUCUUUCCAGCCCUAGCCCACAAAAUCCCCCAUCCACUUGAAGGCAUGAAGCCCCUCGUCUCUGGUCUUUGUACGCGCCACCACCACCAGCAACGCAACCAACACGAACUAAGUAUCCCUUCUAUCUCUAAUAGUUUUAUGACAUGAUCCUGAAUCGGAAGUUAACAACCAGAGAGCAGUGCUUGUAGAAGAAAAUGAAGGGCCACGACAUGAGAGGAUUAUGUGGAACAACUAGCGGAGAAGAUUGAAGACUGAAAGCUUAACAGGUACAGAGUAAAAAAGUUUCUUCGUGUUAUUAUCUUAUGUUCUAUUCUUCAAGCGCUUGUGAAUAAGAAAGCAAAUGACCUUAUAAAUGGGAUUAUGCACACAAGAGAGAUUACGGAUAAUGAUAUAUAGAUUUUGUUGAAGACGUUGAUGUUGAAUAUUUUUUUUCAAGAGUUAGGUAUUCCAUUAGAUUAGCUUUAUAAAUAAAUUUUGGAAUUGUAUGUAGUUUAAUUAUGAAAUUUAAUAUAGUUUGUUAUACAUUUAGCAAA